This is a small nucleolar RNA of Tachyglossus aculeatus (Australian echidna), 133 nucleotides long. Lineage: Eukaryota; Metazoa; Chordata; Mammalia; Monotremata; Tachyglossidae. The record is from RefSeq and is a predicted model, not a curated record.
UCCCUCUCAGGGUCGCACCUGGAGAGUUUCCAUUACUCUACCAGUCUCGGCUACAUGAGGGAGAGUCAAGCAGAAGCCUGUUCAUUCCUAGCUUGGACAGUGGCUAGUAAGUGGAAGGCAAUCUGCUACAAGU